RNAcentral lists this ribosomal RNA (2927 nucleotides) under Escherichia coli. Its description in RNAcentral is "bacterial LSU rRNA". It matches the Rfam family "Bacterial large subunit ribosomal RNA". Lineage: Bacteria; Pseudomonadati; Pseudomonadota; Gammaproteobacteria; Enterobacterales; Enterobacteriaceae. The record is from RNAcentral.
GGGUUGUGAGGUUAAGCGACUAAGCGUACACGGUGGAUGCCCUGGCAGUCAGAGGCGAUGAAGGACGUGCUAAUCUGCGAUAAGCGUCGGUAAGGUGAUAUGAACCGUUAUAACCGGCGAUUUCCGAAUGGGGAAACCCAGUGUGAUUCGUCACACUAUCAUUAACUGAAUCCAUAGGUUAAUGAGGCGAACCGGGGGAACUGAAACAUCUAAGUACCCCGAGGAAAAGAAAUCAACCGAGAUUCCCCCAGUAGCGGCGAGCGAACGGGGAGCAGCCCAGAGCCUGAAUCAGUGUGUGUGUUAGUGGAAGCGUCUGGAAAGGCGCGCGAUACAGGGUGACAGCCCCGUACACAAAAAUGCACAUGCUGUGAGCUCGAUGAGUAGGGCGGGACACGUGGUAUCCUGUCUGAAUAUGGGGGGACCAUCCUCCAAGGCUAAAUACUCCUGACUGACCGAUAGUGAACCAGUACCGUGAGGGAAAGGCGAAAAGAACCCCGGCGAGGGGAGUGAAAAAGAACCUGAAACCGUGUACGUACAAGCAGUGGGAGCACAGAGCAAUCUGUGUGACUGCGUACCUUUUGUAUAAUGGGUCAGCGACUUAUAUUCUGUAGCAAGGUUAACCGAAUAGGGGAGCCGAAGGGAAACCGAGUCUUAACUGGGCGUUAAGUUGCAGGGUAUAGACCCGAAACCCGGUGAUCUAGCCAUGGGCAGGUUGAAGGUUGGGUAACACUAACUGGAGGACCGAACCGACUAAUGUUGAAAAAUUAGCGGAUGACUUGUGGCUGGGGGUGAAAGGCCAAUCAAACCGGGAGAUAGCUGGUUCUCCCCGAAAGCUAUUUAGGUAGCGCCUCGUGAAUUCAUCUCCGGGGGUAGAGCACUGUUUCGGCAAGGGGGUCAUCCCGACUUACCAACCCGAUGCAAACUGCGAAUACCGGAGAAUGUUAUCACGGGAGACACACGGCGGGUGCUAACGUCCGUCGUGAAGAGGGAAACAACCCAGACCGCCAGCUAAGGUCCCAAAGUCAUGGUUAAGUGGGAAACGAUGUGGGAAGGCCCAGACAGCCAGGAUGUUGGCUUAGAAGCAGCCAUCAUUUAAAGAAAGCGUAAUAGCUCACUGGUCGAGUCGGCCUGCGCGGAAGAUGUAACGGGGCUAAACCAUGCACCGAAGCUGCGGCAGCGACGCUUAUGCGUUGUUGGGUAGGGGAGCGUUCUGUAAGCCUGUGAAGGUGUACUGUGAGGUAUGCUGGAGGUAUCAGAAGUGCGAAUGCUGACAUAAGUAACGAUAAAGCGGGUGAAAAGCCCGCUCGCCGGAAGACCAAGGGUUCCUGUCCAACGUUAAUCGGGGCAGGGUGAGUCGACCCCUAAGGCGAGGCCGAAAGGCGUAGUCGAUGGGAAACAGGUUAAUAUUCCUGUACUUGGUGUUACUGCGAAGGGGGGACGGAGAAGGCUAUGUUGGCCGGGCGACGGUUGUCCCGGUUUAAGCGUGUAGGCUGGUUUUCCAGGCAAAUCCGGAAAAUCAAGGCUGAGGCGUGAUGACGAGGCACUACGGUGCUGAAGCAACAAAUGCCCUGCUUCCAGGAAAAGCCUCUAAGCAUCAGGUAACAUCAAAUCGUACCCCAAACCGACACAGGUGGUCAGGUAGAGAAUACCAAGGCGCUUGAGAGAACUCGGGUGAAGGAACUAGGCAAAAUGGUGCCGUAACUUCGGGAGAAGGCACGCUGAUAUGUAGGUGAAGCGACUUGCUCGUGGAGCUGAAAUCAGUCGAAGAUACCAGCUGGCUGCAACUGUUUAUUAAAAACACAGCACUGUGCAAACACGAAAGUGGACGUAUACGGUGUGACGCCUGCCCGGUGCCGGAAGGUUAAUUGAUGGGGUCAGCGCAAGCGAAGCUCUUGAUCGAAGCCCCGGUAAACGGCGGCCGUAACUAUAACGGUCCUAAGGUAGCGAAAUUCCUUGUCGGGUAAGUUCCGACCUGCACGAAUGGCGUAAUGAUGGCCAGGCUGUCUCCACCCGAGACUCAGUGAAAUUGAACUCGCUGUGAAGAUGCAGUGUACCCGCGGCAAGACGGAAAGACCCCGUGAACCUUUACUAUAGCUUGACACUGAACAUUGAGCCUUGAUGUGUAGGAUAGGUGGGAGGCUUUGAAGUGUGGACGCCAGUCUGCAUGGAGCCGACCUUGAAAUACCACCCUUUAAUGUUUGAUGUUCUAACGUUGACCCGUAAUCCGGGUUGCGGACAGUGUCUGGUGGGUAGUUUGACUGGGGCGGUCUCCUCCUAAAGAGUAACGGAGGAGCACGAAGGUUGGCUAAUCCUGGUCGGACAUCAGGAGGUUAGUGCAAUGGCAUAAGCCAGCUUGACUGCGAGCGUGACGGCGCGAGCAGGUGCGAAAGCAGGUCAUAGUGAUCCGGUGGUUCUGAAUGGAAGGGCCAUCGCUCAACGGAUAAAAGGUACUCCGGGGAUAACAGGCUGAUACCGCCCAAGAGUUCAUAUCGACGGCGGUGUUUGGCACCUCGAUGUCGGCUCAUCACAUCCUGGGGCUGAAGUAGGUCCCAAGGGUAUGGCUGUUCGCCAUUUAAAGUGGUACGCGAGCUGGGUUUAGAACGUCGUGAGACAGUUCGGUCCCUAUCUGCCGUGGGCGCUGGAGAACUGAGGGGGGCUGCUCCUAGUACGAGAGGACCGGAGUGGACGCAUCACUGGUGUUCGGGUUGUCAUGCCAAUGGCACUGCCCGGUAGCUAAAUGCGGAAGAGAUAAGUGCUGAAAGCAUCUAAGCACGAAACUUGCCCCGAGAUGAGUUCUCCCUGACUCCUUGAGAGUCCUGAAGGAACGUUGAAGACGACGACGUUGAUAGGCCGGGUGUGUAAGCGCAGCGAUGCGUUGAGCUAACCGGUACUAAUGAACCGUGAGGCUUAACCUUACAACGCCGAAG